AGUGACUUGUGCCCGGAGUUGCUGCAAGUGCGUGAUGAAGGCGGCUUCUUUGCCAGUUUACCAGCAACAGCUAAGGAAAAACAAUUUUCUCGCUCAGCACAAAUGGGUGAAAGAUGGAAAGAUGGAAGGAAGGAAAAUCGAGAAGCGAAAAUAUAAAGCAAGCAAAUCCACUUCAAUGGGGAAACAAGAAAAACAAGCAACAACGACGGUAGCAACUUGAGUGCCAACAAUUGAAGCAGCUGGCCCGUCAAAAGUUGCCACUUUCUUGGCACUGUCCUUGCGCCCAGAACUCCCAGCUCUACCCAUUUCCAUCACCAUCAUCUGUGCCCCCAUCCGAUCCCCAUCCGACGCCCAAUCCUCACCAGCACACGUGAGCUGGCAAAGUUUUAGUGGCAUUUUACCACUUUUGCCCCGACUUCCGCCUGAUUGACUUGCAUCGAGUUGACUUAGCACUGCUUCUUCUUCACGGCAUUUUCUUUAUUGGCCAGCAUCGAUAGAUAGAUAGAUCCACACCAGCUAGCUCUUGGCAUUGGCUGCGU
Molecule: non-coding RNA, 539 nt
Organism: Drosophila melanogaster (fruit fly)
Lineage: Eukaryota; Metazoa; Arthropoda; Insecta; Diptera; Drosophilidae
Source: Ensembl